GAUGAACGCUGGCGGCGUGCCUAAUACAUGCAAGUCGAGCGAACGGACGAGAAGCUUGCUUCUCUGAUGUUAGCGGCGGACGGGUGAGUAACACGUGGAUAACCUACCUAUAAGACUGGGAUAACUUCGGGAAACCGGAGCUAAUACCGGAUAAUAUUUUGAACCGCAUGGUUCAAAAGUGAAAGACGGUCUUGCUGUCACUUAUAGAUGGAUCCGCGCUGCAUUAGCUAGUUGGUAAGGUAACGGCUUACCAAGGCAACGAUGCAUAGCCGACCUGAGAGGGUGAUCGGCCACACUGGAACUGAGACACGGUCCAGACUCCUACGGGAGGCAGCAGUAGGGAAUCUUCCGCAAUGGGCGAAAGCCUGACGGAGCAACGCCGCGUGAGUGAUGAAGGUCUUCGGAUCGUAAGACUCUGUUAUUAGGGAAGAACAUAUGUGUAAGUAACUGUGCACAUCUUGACGGUACCUAAUCAGAAAGCCACGGCUAACUACGUGCCAGCAGCCGCGGUAAUACGUAGGUGGCAAGCGUUAUCCGGAAUUAUUGGGCGUAAAGCGCGCGUAGGCGGUUUUUUAAGUCUGAUGUGAAAGCCCACGGCUCAACCGUGGAGGGUCAUUGGAAACUGGAAAACUUGAGUGCAGAAGAGGAAAGUGGAAUUCCAUGUGUAGCGGUGAAAUGCGCAGAGAUAUGGAGGAACACCAGUGGCGAAGGCGACUUUCUGGUCUGUAAUUGACGCUGAUGUGCGAAAGCGUGGGGAUCAAACAGGAUUAGAUACCCUGGUAGUCCACGCCGUAAACGAUGAGUGCUAAGUGUUAGGGGGUUUCCGCCCCUUAGUGCUGCAGCUAACGCAUUAAGCACUCCGCCUGGGGAGUACGACCGCAAGGUUGAAACUCAAAGGAAUUGACGGGGACCCGCACAAGCGGUGGAGCAUGUGGUUUAAUUCGAAGCAACGCGAAGAACCUUACCAAAUCUUGACAUCCUUUGACAACUCUAGAGAUAGAGCUUUCCCCUUCGGGGGACAAAGUGACAGGUGGUGCAUGGUUGUCGUCAGCUCGUGUCGUGAGAUGUUGGGUUAAGUCCCGCAACGAGCGCAACCCUUAAGCUUAGUUGCCAUCAUUAAGUUGGGCACUCUAAGUUGACUGCCGGUGACAAACCGGAGGAAGGUGGGGAUGACGUCAAAUCAUCAUGCCCCUUAUGAUUUGGGCUACACACGUGCUACAAUGGACAAUACAAAGGGCAGCGAAACCGCGAGGUCAAGCAAAUCCCAUAAAGUUGUUCUCAGUUCGGAUUGUAGCCUGCAACUCGACUACAUGAAGCUGGAAUCGCUAGUAAUCGUAGAUCAGCAUGCUACGGUGAAUACGUUCCCGGGUCU
This 1372-nucleotide ribosomal RNA is filed under the name uncultured bacterium. Its description in RNAcentral is "bacterial SSU rRNA". It matches the Rfam family "Bacterial small subunit ribosomal RNA", at positions 28 to 1381 of the family's 1533-position model. The record is from RNAcentral.